GACGAACGCUGGCGGCGUGCUUAACACAUGCAAGUCGAACGGAAAGGCCCUGCUUUUGUGGGGUGCUCGAGUGGCGAACGGGUGAGUAACACGUGAGUAACCUGCCCUUGACUUUGGGAUAACUUCAGGAAACUGGGGCUAAUACCGGAUAGGAGCUCCUGCUGCAUGGUGGGGGUUGGAAAGUUUCGGCGGUUGGGGAUGGACGCGCGGCUUAUCAGCUUGUUGGUGGGGUAGUGGCUUACCAAGGCUUUGACGGGUAGCCGGCCUGAGAGGGUGACCGGCCACCAUGGGACUGAGAGACGGCCCAGACUGCUACGGGAGGCAGCAGUGGGGAAUAUUGCAGAAUGGGCGGAAGCCUGAUGCAGCGAUGCCGCGUGCGGGAUAACGGCUUACGGGUUGUAAACCGCUUUCGCCUGUGACGAGGAGUGAGUGACGGUAAUGGAUAAGGAAGCACCGGCUAACUACGUG
RNAcentral lists this ribosomal RNA (468 nucleotides) under uncultured bacterium. RNAcentral describes it as "partial 16S ribosomal RNA". It matches the Rfam family "Bacterial small subunit ribosomal RNA", at positions 28 to 507 of the family's 1533-position model. The record is from RNAcentral.